Carya illinoinensis is the source of this 1051-nucleotide long non-coding RNA. RefSeq lists it as uncharacterized. The transcript is spliced from 2 exons. NCBI's taxonomy places the organism in Eukaryota, Viridiplantae, Streptophyta, Magnoliopsida, Fagales, Juglandaceae. The record is from RefSeq and is a predicted model, not a curated record.
CGGAAGAAGAAAACACAAGAAGUCCAUUCAUGACAGUUUAACCUAUUGGACCUCAUUCUUUAGCUGGGCCUGAAUGGACUUCGCUUUCGAUUUAUAAUUUCGUAGCACACGGAAGAUUGGGCCGUGUGCAUCGAAACACGCAGAUCACUGGUCCGGAUUCGGGAGGCAGGAGGUCUUUCACCAGACGGUCCUGCGUCGCAAGGGAGAUUAGAGAAUGUCCAAUCUGGGCUUCUAAACCAAUGGCCGACACUGAACCUCCGUUCUGCCCUUGCACAGCACCGCGUUAUUUCGUCUCCUCAGUCUUGCUACCGGCCACAAAAACCAUCAAUCUUCGUCUCUCGCUAAUCAGUGCCUUCGGCUAACCGUAACGUCCAUCACCUGCCACGCGACCUCAGAUUGUCCAAUGCCCCAAUACGGUCUGAUCUCGACAAAGGCGGUGGCAGCGACUUGGAUCCCAAUGUAAGGAAGAGCCAAAACCAGAUGAAGCGUGAGGCUAGGCUCGCCAUCCGUCGGGGCAUGGAACUCCCAUCCUUUUUUACUAUUCGAAUCAAACGUACUCUCAGGUGCCCCCGCCAAUAUCCCUUGAUGCGGAAACAGCCCUAUAUACAUUGUUUUAUUUCCAAUUCCGAAAUUAACUUGAGCUCCAAAUUGACGUUGGUAAAUGCCUAGUAGCUUCCCUUGUCGAAGAGGCAUUCGAAGCUCUAAUGCCAAUGAAGAUAAACUACGACAGGAUGUGCAACGUGAGUUAUGGAUCAUGGCUUGAUUCAGGACAAAAGAUGGUGACCAGAGGAGGCUGCUGGCUUUGUCCGUUUCAAUGGUUAGGGGAGAGGAUGAUCAUGAAGAAGCAGAAGAAAGUCAGUAUAGUUGCUAGAGUAUCAUAUUUUGUAUCAUAUUUUAUCAAACUUACUGAGCUUCGGGAGAUAUUAAUUAGUUUCUUGCAGUCAUGUUCCAACUUACUUUUUGGGUAUUGUUUCCAGGGAUCUGAUCAUAAAGACAUUAACAUAACAACCAGAUGGCUUGAAGGUCUGUUCAAUAAGGACAUUACAAUCAA